UUGACCUCAGAUCGGGUGGGACUACCCGCUGAACUUAAGCAUAUCAAUAAGCGGAGGA
RNAcentral lists this ribosomal RNA (58 nucleotides) under uncultured fungus. RNAcentral describes it as "partial 28S ribosomal RNA". It matches the Rfam family "Eukaryotic large subunit ribosomal RNA", at positions 1 to 57 of the family's 3401-position model. Lineage: Eukaryota; Fungi. The record is from RNAcentral.